This 3298-nucleotide ribosomal RNA is filed under the name Durio zibethinus. RNAcentral's name for it is "eukaryotic LSU rRNA". It matches the Rfam family "Eukaryotic large subunit ribosomal RNA". The record is from RNAcentral. Lineage: Eukaryota; Viridiplantae; Streptophyta; Magnoliopsida; Malvales; Malvaceae.
AUUCUAGGUUAAGCAAGAUCACCUAUUGAGUUUAAGCAUAUCAAUAAAUGAAGAAAAAGAAACUUACCAAGAUUCCCUUAGUAAUGGUGAAUGAAUCGAAAUGUGACUAGCUUGAGAGUCGAGUGCCUUCAGAGUUUGAAUUACAGUCUAGAGAAGCAUCCUUAGUGGUGGACCAGGCCCAAGUCCUCUGGAAAUAGGUGUUGGAAAGGAUAAGAACCCUAUUAUGCCUGGACCUUGUCACACUACAAGCACUAUCUACGAGUCAAGUUGUUUGGGAAUGCUACCCCAAUUGGGCUAUAAAUUUCAUCCAAGGCUCAAUACAGGUGAGAGACUAAUAGUAAACAAGUACUGCAAGGGAAAGAUAAAAUGGACAUUGAAAAGAAAGUCAAAGAGUGCUUGAAAUUAUCAAAAGGGUAGCAAAUGGGGGCUAGUGAUGCACCCUGAUCAGAUGUGGAAUGAUGAAAGUUGAUUCACAAAAUAGUGAGAGUCAGUCCUUAGAUUGGCUCAGAGGAUGGAUCAAGGUGGGUUGCAGUUGUAGCCCAAGCCUAGGCUUUUGAAAUGCCUACAAAGACAUUGUCACCACAAUCGUGGAAUGUAGCACACGCUGUCUUGACUUGCCUCGACAAAGGCAUGCUUUUAGCAUUGACUUGCAAGCUCUCUAUUCAACCCAUCUUGAAAGAUGGACCAAAGAGUCUGACAUGUGUAUGAGUCAAUGAAUUAAAAAACCUAUCAAACGUAAAGAAGCUAAUGGGUAAGAUCCCUCGCAGGUGCACCACUGAUCGACCUUGAUCUUCUAAAAAGGGUUCGAGAGUAAGCAUGCCUACUAGGACCCAAAAGAUGGUGAACCAUGCCUAAAUGGGGUAAAGUAAGAGAAAACUCUAGUAGAGGCUCACAAUGAUACCGGCAUGCAGAUCAUUCAUCUAAUUUAGGUAUAAUGCUGAAAAACUAAUCGAACCAUCUAGUAGUUGGUUCCAUUUGAAAUUUCCUUCAAGAGUUGAAGCCUUUAAUGAGUUAUGUUGGGUAAAGCCAAUGAUUAGAGGCAUCGACGGUGUAACACCCUCAACAUAUUCUCAAUCUUUAAAUAGGUAGGACAACAUUACUACUUCAUUGAGCCAUGCCAUGGAAUUGAGAGCUCCAAGUGGGCCAUUUUUUGUAAGUAAAAUUGGUGAUAUAAGAUGUACUAGAAACCAGGUUAUGGUACUUAACUGCAUGCUAACCUAGAACCCACCAAACGUGUUGGUCGAUUAAGACAGCAGGAUGGUGAUCAUGGAAGUCAAAAUCUACUAAGGAGUGUGUAACAGCUCAAUUGCCAAAUCAGCUAGCAACAAAAAUGGAUGGUGCUUAAGUGCAUGACCUAUACCCAGUUGUUCGGUCAAGAGCCAGGCUUUGAUGAGUAGAAGGGCACAGUGGUUAUCCCAAAACUUGGGGAACAAACCCAGGUGGAGUAGCCAUCGAUACAGAUCUUAAUAGUAAUAGCAAAUAUUCAAAUAAGAACUUUGAAGGCCAAAAAGAGGAAAGGUUCCAUGUGAAUGGCAUUUACACAUGGGUUAGUCGAUCCUAAUAGAGGGAGGAAACCCAUCUGAUAGCAUGUCUAGCACGAGCUUUAAAAGGGAAUUGGGUUAAAAUUCUUGAACUAAGACACAACAAUUGAUAGCAACAUUAAGUAGUCUAGAGAUGUCAGUGAGGGCCUCAGGAAGAGUUAUCUUUUCUAUUUAAUAGCCUGCCUUCCUUGGAAAUGGCUCAACUGAAAGUAAGGUCCAAUGGGCCAAAGAGAGUUGUACAUCACAUGAUGUCCUGUGCAUCCUUAUGGCCCUUGAAAAUGUAAAAGAUCGAGUCCUAUGUGUGGUUGAUCAUACUCAUAAUUGCAUCAGGUCUCCAAGGUGAAUAGCCUCUAGAUGGCGGAACAAUGUAGGCAAGGGAAGUUGGCAAAAUGGAUCCAUAACCUUAGGAAAAGGAUUGGCUCUGAGGGUUGGGGAUGGGAGUCUCAAUCUUGAACAUAUUGGCUACAGGUGCACUGCUUGAGCUACUCCUAUGACAAGAGCAUGUCAUCAUAUGUCAGCCAAGGGAUAGUCUAGGAACAGCUCCCUCAAGUGCUUUCCUCGGGUGAUGAACAAUCAACUUAAAAUUGGUACGGAUAAGGGGACUUUGAUUAUUUAAUUAAAACAAAGUAUUAUGAAGAUCCCUAUUGAUGCUCACACAAUAUGAUUUCUGCCUAAUGCUCUAAAUAUCAAAAUGAAGAAAUUCAACAAAGCAUAAAUAAGCAAUGGGAGAAACUAUAACUCUCUUAAGGUAGCUAAAUGCCUCAUCAUCUAAUUAGUGAUAUGUAUGAAUGCAUUAACGAGAUUCCCACUAUCCUUGUAUACUAUCCAACAAAACCAUAGCCAAGAAAAUGGGCUUAGUAGAAAUAGUGGGGAAAGAAGACCUUGUUAAUCUUGACUCUAGUCCAACUUUGUGAAAUAACUUGAGAGAUCUUGAGAGAUGUAGGAUAAGUGGAAGCCUUCAGGAAAAAUUGAAAUACCAUUACUUUUAAUGUUGUUUUACUUAUUCUGUGAAUCAGAGGUAGGGCACAACCUCUUCUUUUGGACCUAAAGCCAACCUCGAUCAUUGAUAUAAGCAAAAGAUAUUAUUAAGUGGGGAGUUUGGCUAGGGUAGCACAUCUGUUAAAAGAUAAUAUGGGUGUCCUAGGAUGAGCUCAAUGAGAAUAAAAAUCUCAUGUGGAACAAAAGGGUAAAAGCUCAUUUGAUUCUGAUUUCUAGUAUAAUAUGAACUAUGAAAGUGUGGCCUAUCAAUCUUUUAGACCGUCAAAAUUUAAAGCUAAUGGUGUCAAAAUAGUUACCACAAGGAUAACUCACUUGUGCUAGCAAAGUAUUCAUAGCGAUGUUGCCUUUUUAUCUUUCGAUGUUAGAUCUUCUUAUCAUUAUGAAUCAUAAUUCACCAAGUGUUGAAUUGUUGACCAACCAAUAAAGAACAUGAGCUGGGUUUAAACCAUCGUGAGAUGGUUCAUUUUACCCUACUGAUGGUAGCAUCACAAUAGUAAUUCAACCUUGUAAGAGAAGAACUGUUAAUUAGCACAAUUGGUCAUCGCGCUUGGUUGAAAAGCUAGUGGCAUGAAGCUACCAUGCAAUGGAUUAUGACUCAAUGCCUCUAAAUUACUAUGACCAUCACCUAGUUGCUGACCUAUAGUAGGGGCCCAUGGCCCCCAAAGGCAUGUGUUAGAUAUGCAACCCCACAGUGAACAAGCCUUAUUAACCUCCUUGGAGCUAAAUUCCCACCAAAUAAUGGGUAGAAUCCUUUGUCG